UACGUAGGGUGCAAGCGUUAAUCGGAAUUACUGGGCGUAAAGCGUGCGCAGGCGGUUAUGUAAGACAGAUGUUAAAUCCCCGGGCUCAACCUGGGAACUGCAUUUGUGACUGCAUAGCUAGAGUACGGUAGAGGGGGAUGGAAUUCCGCGUGUAGCAGUGAAAUGCGUAGAUAUGCGGAGGAACACCGAUGGCGAAGGCAAUCCCCUGGACCUGUACUGACGCUCAUGCACGAAAGCGUGGGGAGCAAACAGG
This 253-nucleotide ribosomal RNA is filed under the name uncultured bacterium. RNAcentral's name for it is "partial 16S ribosomal RNA". It matches the Rfam family "Bacterial small subunit ribosomal RNA", at positions 524 to 776 of the family's 1533-position model. The record is from RNAcentral.